GUUUUUUCAGACGGGAAGGGCGGGAGUAAAGGGCUCCAAGAUAGGGAUUCCUUAAUAAUGUGAAGCACGACUGCCACCGUGAGGAAAUCCUUUGAAGACACAAUACGCCAUUACAGCGUCCUUCCCAGAAAGACUUGCUGUGGGGGGAAGUCUGAACUGUGGGAGGUGGCAGACGCUUGGGCUCCAGGCUAGGUCUUCUAGCUUUCUCCUCUAAGACCUGAAGAGAGGCCUUAACAUUGGUAGUAGCUUGGUGUAGAACCAGGAGAGUGAGGGGCUUGUAGUGAACCAGCAGCUGCCAGGCGAUCCUGGCACAGGAAGACGUAGGGCGGGGCCUCGGUUCCUCCAAGUGUGGGCAGGACUGAAGGCACCCAUUCAAACACACAUGGAGGCUCUUGUGGGCAUCUGUCUCUUCUUCCUGUCCCUUGGAGCAAGAGUCAGCAGGCUUUCUCGAACUAGCAUCUUGCUACGGGUCUUUGGGUCUCUGGUAGCACCAGUACCGCGCACAAACAACAGGUUUAUUCCAGGGAAGUUUACAGGAUUUGGUAUUAGAACCUUCACACUCCAGGUUCUACACCAAGAUACCGCCAAAUUCCAGUUCUCUCUUCAGGCCUUAGAGGAGAAGGCAACAAGACCUAGUCUGGAGCCCAAUCCUCUUCCACCUCCUCACAGACCAGACUUUCCCCCACAGCGAGGCUUCCCGGGAAGGACGCUGUAAUAGCCUAUUCUGUCUUUAAACGAUUUCCUCACGGUGGCAGUAGUGCUUCAGAUUUUCAAGGACGCCCUGUCUUGGAGCAGUCUUCUCCCGCCCUUCCUGUCUGAAAAAACGCCACCCAGAGACAAAUGCGCCAGGAGACAUGGCUGCCUUGCAUUUUGCACAGUUUGGGGCAACCUGUGCAAAUUCCUGUACUUUUGCUUUUCUUUUCCAUGUGAAAUCAAGUCAAAGCCUAAACGACCCAUCCUCAUCAGGAAUCUUGUUCUUUCAAGAAAUUAAAUGUUUUCCAGACUUAGUCUAUGUGGGUUGGCUCAGUACUUUCACAUGGUAUCAAAAUGUCUGUCUCAGGCCGGAAAUUAGACCGAUCAGAGAAGAAAAGCGAUAAUAAAUGGUCAGAAGCCUGGAGAUCAUCAUGAGCCACCAAUUCACAAGUCUAGGUGAUCUUUGACCUAUUCCCCUCCCCAGAC
Molecule: long non-coding RNA, 1179 nt
Filed under: Homo sapiens (human)
Lineage: Eukaryota; Metazoa; Chordata; Mammalia; Primates; Hominidae
Description: HSALNT0286453
Source: RNAcentral